Molecule: non-coding RNA, 218 nt
Organism: Podarcis lilfordi (Lilford's wall lizard)
Lineage: Eukaryota; Metazoa; Chordata; Lepidosauria; Squamata; Lacertidae
Source: the annotation of a GenBank genome assembly
GCCUAGAUAGCUUAGUUGGUUAGAGCAGGCAUAGGCAACCUCGGCCCUCCAGAUGCUUUGGGACUACAACUCCCAUCAUCCCUGACCACUGGUCCUGUUAGCUAGGGAUGAUGGGAGUUGUAGUCCCAAAACAUCUGGAGGGCCGAGGUUGCCUAUGCCUGGGUUACAAUGUGGUGCUGAUCAUGCCAAGGUUGCAGGUUCAAUCCCUGUAUUGGACA